AGACGAACCGUCCAAACGUUAUUCGGAAUUACUGGGCUUAAAGGGUGCGUAGGCGGCCCGAUAAGUUGGGUGUGAAAUCCCACGGCUCAACCGUGGAACUGCGCUCAAUACUGUCGGGCUUGAGGGAGAUAGAGGUGAGCGGAACUAAUGGUGGAGCGGUGAAAUGCGUUGAUAUCAUUAGGAACACCUGUAGCGAAAGCGGCUCACUGGGUCUCUGCUGACGCUGAGGCACGAAAGCUAGGGUAGCGAACGGGAUUAGAUACCCCAGUAGUCC
RNAcentral lists this ribosomal RNA (274 nucleotides) under uncultured bacterium. RNAcentral describes it as "partial 16S ribosomal RNA". It matches the Rfam family "Bacterial small subunit ribosomal RNA", at positions 523 to 796 of the family's 1533-position model. The record is from RNAcentral.